RNAcentral lists this ribosomal RNA (497 nucleotides) under uncultured bacterium. RNAcentral's name for it is "partial 16S ribosomal RNA". It matches the Rfam family "Bacterial small subunit ribosomal RNA", at positions 28 to 507 of the family's 1533-position model. The record is from RNAcentral.
GACGAACGCUGGCGGCGUGCCUAAUACAUGCAAGUUGAGCGCUCAAGGUUUGUGCUUGUACCCACUGUCUGAGCAGCUAACGGGUGAGUAACUCGUGGGGAGUCUACCUUUGUGCGGGGGACAACUUUUAGAAACGAAUGCUAAUUCCUCCUACAAACUUUAAACACACGCUUUAAGUUUGAACGAUGCAAUUGCCUCACUCACAGAUGAUCCCGCGUGGUAUUAGCUAGUUGGGGAGGUAAAGGCUCACCAAAGCCAAGAUGCAUAUCCGACCUGAGAGGGGGAAAGGACACAAUGGGAAUGAGACAAGGCCCAAACUCCUAAGGGAAGCAGCAGUAGGGAAUCCUACGCAAAGGAAGAAAGGCUGAACGAGGAAAGCCGGGUGAGGGAAGAAGGGUUUCGGAUUGGAAAAAUCUGGUGGUAGAGAAGAACGAGGGGAAGGGGGGAAAGCUAAGCAAGUGACGGUAACUAACCAGAAAGCGACGGCUAACUACGUG